GAUGAACGCUAGCUACAGGCUUAACACAUGCAAGUCGAGGGGUAACAUGAAGAAAGCUUGCUUUCUUUGAUGACGACCGGCGCACGGGUGAGUAUCGCGUAUCCAACCUGCCCAUAAGUAGGGAAUAGCCUUGCGAAAGUAAGAUUAAUGCCCUAUGGUUUCCAUUAAAGACAUCUGAGAUGGAAUAAAGAUUUAUCGCUUAUGGAUGGGGAUGCGUCUGAUUAGGUAGUAGGCGGGGUAACGGCCCACCUGGCCUACGAUCGUUAGGGGUUCUGAGAGGAAGGUCCCCCACACUGGUACUGAGACACGGACCAGACUCC
RNAcentral lists this ribosomal RNA (320 nucleotides) under uncultured Prevotella sp. RNAcentral describes it as "bacterial SSU rRNA". It matches the Rfam family "Bacterial small subunit ribosomal RNA", at positions 28 to 339 of the family's 1533-position model. Lineage: Bacteria; Pseudomonadati; Bacteroidota; Bacteroidia; Bacteroidales; Prevotellaceae. The record is from RNAcentral.